UACGAAGGGGGCUAGCGUUGCUCGGAAUUACUGGGCGUAAAGGGAGCGUAGGCGGACAUUUAAGUCAGGGGUGAAAUCCCGGAGCUCAACUCCGGAACUGCCCUUGAUACUGUCUGGCUUGAGACCGGAAGAGGUAAGUGGAACUGCGAGUGUAGAGGUGAAAUUCGUAGAUAUUCGCAAGAACACCAGUGGCGAAGGCAAUCCCCUGGGCCUGUACUGACGCUCAUGCACGAAAGCGUGGGGAGCAAACAGG
RNAcentral lists this ribosomal RNA (253 nucleotides) under uncultured bacterium. RNAcentral's name for it is "partial 16S ribosomal RNA". It matches the Rfam family "Bacterial small subunit ribosomal RNA", at positions 524 to 776 of the family's 1533-position model. The record is from RNAcentral.